Molecule: ribosomal RNA, 253 nt
Filed under: uncultured bacterium
Lineage: Bacteria
Description: partial 16S ribosomal RNA
Rfam family: Bacterial small subunit ribosomal RNA
Source: RNAcentral
UACGUAGGGGGCGAGCGUUGUCCGGAAUUAUUGGGCGUAAAGGGCUCGUAGGCGGUCUGUCACGUCGGGAGUGAAAACACGGGGCUUAACCCCGUGCCUGCUUCCGAUACGGGCAGACUAGAGGUAUGCAGGGGAGAACGGAAUUCCUGGUGUAGCGGUGAAAUGCGCAGAUAUCAGGAGGAACACCGGUGGCGAAGGCGGUUCUCUGGGCAUUACCUGACGCUGAGGAGCGAAAGUGUGGGGAGCGAACAGG